This 468-nucleotide ribosomal RNA is filed under the name uncultured bacterium. RNAcentral's name for it is "partial 16S ribosomal RNA". It matches the Rfam family "Bacterial small subunit ribosomal RNA", at positions 28 to 507 of the family's 1533-position model. The record is from RNAcentral.
GACGAACGCUGGCGGCGUGCUUAACACAUGCAAGUCGAACGGAAAGGCCCUGCUUUUGUGGGGUGCUCGAGUGGCGAACGGGUGAGUAACACGUGAGUAACCUGCCCUUGACUUUGGGAUAACUUCAGGAAACUGGGGCUAAUACCGGAUAGGAGCUCCUGCUGCAUGGUGGGGGUUGGAAAGUUUCGGCGGUUGGGGAUGGACUCGCGGCUUAUCAGCUUGUUGGUGGGGUAGUGGCUUACCAAGGCUUUGACGGGUAGCCGGCCUGAGAGGGUGACCGGCCACAUUGGGACUGAGAUACGGCCCAGACUCCUACGGGAGACAGCAGUGGGGAAUAUUGCACAAUGGGCGGACGCCUGAUGCAGCAACGCCGCGUGCGGGAUGACGGCCUUCGGGUUGUAAACCGCUUUCGCCUGUGACGAAGCGUGAGUGACGGUAAUGGGUAAAGAAGCACCGGCUAACUACGUG